RNAcentral lists this non-coding RNA (21 nucleotides) under Arabidopsis thaliana (thale cress). The record is from RNAcentral. Lineage: Eukaryota; Viridiplantae; Streptophyta; Magnoliopsida; Brassicales; Brassicaceae.
UGCUGGUCCGACCGUGUUUCG